This 468-nucleotide ribosomal RNA is filed under the name uncultured bacterium. RNAcentral's name for it is "partial 16S ribosomal RNA". It matches the Rfam family "Bacterial small subunit ribosomal RNA", at positions 28 to 507 of the family's 1533-position model. The record is from RNAcentral.
GACGAACGCUGGCGGCGUGCUUAACACAUGCAAGUCGAACGGAAAGGCCCUGCUUUUGUGGGGUGCUCGAGUGGCGAACGGGUGAGUAACACGUGAGUAACCUGCCCUUGACUUUGGGAUAACUUCAGGAAACUGGGGCUAAUACCGGAUAGGAGCUCCUGCUGUAUGGUGGGGGUUGGAAAGUUUCGGCGGGUGGGGAUGGACUCGCGGCUUAUCAGCUUGUUGGUGGGGUAGUGGCUUACCAAGGCUUUGACGGGUAGCCGGCCUGAGAGGGUGACCGGCCACAUUGGGACUGAGAGACGGCCCAGAGUCCUACGGGAGGCAGCAGGGGGAAAUAUUGCACAAUGGGCGGAAGCCUGAUGCAGCAACGCCGCGUGCGGGAUGACGGCCUGCGGGUUGUAAACCGCUUUCGCCUGUGACGAAGCGUGAGUGACGGUAAUGGGUAAAGAAGCACCGGCUAACUACGUG